UGUCACAACGGCUUCCUGACGUGGCAAAUUCUUUCAAACUGGAGCA
This 46-nucleotide non-coding RNA is filed under the name Neptunicoccus cionae. Its description in RNAcentral is "Amylibacter cionae SAM-SAH-Weickhmann-2018 RNA". It matches the Rfam family "SAM/SAH riboswitch aptamer". The record is from RNAcentral. Lineage: Bacteria; Pseudomonadati; Pseudomonadota; Alphaproteobacteria; Rhodobacterales; Paracoccaceae.